Diospyros lotus (date-plum) is the source of this 92-nucleotide small nucleolar RNA. RefSeq annotates it as small nucleolar RNA snoR26. Lineage: Eukaryota; Viridiplantae; Streptophyta; Magnoliopsida; Ericales; Ebenaceae. The record is from RefSeq and is a predicted model, not a curated record. The transcript has a single exon.
UGAGCAUCAGUGAUGAGUAGCUUCCUUAUGUUAUCCUUGCACUUUGAUUGCCCGUGAAGAAAUCUAUGGGGACUGUUGACUCUGAGAUGCUU